CAGCCGCCGCGGUAAUACCGGCGGCCCGAGUGGCGGCCACUAUUAUUGGGCUUAAAGCGUCCGUAGCCGGGUUGGUUAGUCUCCCGGGAAAUCUGGCCGCUUAACGGUCCGAAUUCCGGGAGAUACUGCCAGCCUAGGGACCGGGAGAGGCCGAGGGUAUUCCCGGAGUAGGGGUGAAAUCCUAUAAUCCCGGGAGGACCACCUGUGGCGAAGGCGCUCGGCUGGAACGGGUCCGACGGUGAGGGACGAAGGCCAGGGGAGAAAACCGGAUAAGAUCCCCGGGUAGUCCACGCCGUAAACGGUGGGCACUAGGUGUGGGGGGUUAAUCCCUCCGUGCCGAAGCUAACGCAUUAAGUGCCCCGCCUGGGGAGUACGGCCGCAAGGUUGAAACUUAAAGGAAUUGGCGGG
This 408-nucleotide ribosomal RNA is filed under the name uncultured microorganism. Its description in RNAcentral is "bacterial SSU rRNA". It matches the Rfam family "Archaeal small subunit ribosomal RNA", at positions 459 to 872 of the family's 1478-position model. The record is from RNAcentral.